This 221-nucleotide long non-coding RNA is filed under the name Physcomitrium patens. Its description in RNAcentral is "long non-coding RNA (PPAT_LNC007899)". Lineage: Eukaryota; Viridiplantae; Streptophyta; Bryopsida; Funariales; Funariaceae. The record is from RNAcentral.
UAAGUAUAGCUCAACUAAAUCUAUUAGGAUGUAUGGGCCUUAGACUAUAUGAUUGAAAGGAUGAUGGAGAAUUCAUCAAAUGGUUAAUAAAAUAUCUUACUUUAAGUGUAGAUGAAGUAAUAAAUGUCAACUUUAUAGAUAAUUUUGCUACUUAAUAAAAUAAUGAAGUAGAUAUAGACUUAAUAAUCCUAGUUGAAGACAUAAAAAUUAAAGAUGUCUUU